GUAGGUGAACCUGCGGAAGGAUCAUUAAUGAGAACUUGCCCUUCGGGGUAGAUCUCCCACCCUAUGUUUACAUUACCUUUGUUGCUUUGGCAGGCCCGUCCUCGGACCACCGGCUUCGGCUGGUCAGCGCUUGCCAGAGGAUCUCAAACUCUAUAUUUUAUGUUGUCUGAGUAUUAUUUUAAUAAGUUAAAACUUUCAACAACGGAUCUCUUGGUUCUG
Molecule: unclassified non-coding RNA, 219 nt
Filed under: rhizosphere metagenome
Description: partial ribosomal RNA internal transcribed spacer region
Source: RNAcentral